GAUGAACGCUGGCGGCGUGCCUAACACAUGCAAGUCGAACGGAAGGACACUAAGAUUGUGCUCUUACGGAUGGCGGGUGGCGUGCGGGUCACGAGUGCAUCCGAACCUUCUUUUUCGGGGAGGAUAACGUAAGUGGGGUUACGAUAGUACCGCAUAUUAUGUACCGUGGAGGGCAGUGGAUAUUCUCGGCUUUCGCGAUUGAAUUAGCCGAUGCCGGGGUAGCUAGUUGGGUGGUUAAAGGCCCACCAAGCCGACGAUCCGUAGCUGGACUGAGAGGACGAUCGGCCACACUGGAACUGAGACACGGUCCAGACUCCUACGGGAGGCAGCAGUGGGGAAUGUUGGGCAAUGGGCGCAAGCCUGACGCAGCAAUGCCGCGUGAGUGACGAAGGCCUUCGGGUCGUAAAGCCCUGUUGUUGGGAAAGAACAGCUGUCGCCUGAUACGAGGCGGUUGUGACGGUACCGAGUGAAGAAGCACCGGCUAACUACGUG
RNAcentral lists this ribosomal RNA (492 nucleotides) under uncultured bacterium. RNAcentral's name for it is "partial 16S ribosomal RNA". It matches the Rfam family "Bacterial small subunit ribosomal RNA", at positions 28 to 507 of the family's 1533-position model. The record is from RNAcentral.